UUAUCGUACAACCGAGGUGCGGAGGGCUGUCGCUGACUUUUGNCGUGCACGCCCAAAGUGCUCUCAAACAAUAUCCAUCUCACCCAUUUGUGCAUCAUCGCGUGGGUCCUGCUUUUUGGCUUGUCCCAAGGAGGGGGGCUCGCGUUUUCACACAAACACCCUUUUAAUGCAGUGUANAAUGUUCUUUUGCGAUGACUCGCAAUAAAUACAACUUUCAACAACGGAUCUCUUGGCUCUCGCAUCGAUGAANAACGCAGCGAAAUGCGAUACGUAAUGUGAAUUGCAGAAUUCAGUGAAUCAUCGAAUCUUUGAACGCACCUUGCGCCCCUUGGCAUUCCGAGGGGCACACCCGUUUGAGUGUCGUGACAUUCUCAAAAAGAACCCUUCUUGGUCUUGCGAUCGGGAAAGGCUUUUUUUUGGACUUUGGAGGUUAUUGCUGGUCCCCCCUUGAUAGCCAGCUCCUCUUAAAUGAAUUAGUAGGGACCGCUUUGCUGACCCUAGACGUGAUAAGAUGUUUCUGCGUCUUG
This 527-nucleotide unclassified non-coding RNA is filed under the name uncultured fungus. RNAcentral describes it as "sequence contains ITS1, 5.8S rRNA gene, ITS2". The stretch from base 210 to 363 matches the Rfam family "5.8S ribosomal RNA". Lineage: Eukaryota; Fungi. The record is from RNAcentral.